This 207-nucleotide ribosomal RNA is filed under the name uncultured bacterium. Its description in RNAcentral is "partial 16S ribosomal RNA". It matches the Rfam family "Bacterial small subunit ribosomal RNA", at positions 328 to 538 of the family's 1533-position model. The record is from RNAcentral.
ACGCUCGACACCUACGGGAGGGCAGCAGUGGGGAAUAUUGCACAAUGGGGGAAACCCUGAUGCAGCGACGCCGCGUGAAGGAAGAAGUAUUUCGGUAUGUAAACUUCUAUCAGCAGGGAAGAAGAUGACGGUACCUGACUAAGAAGCCCCGGCUAACUACGUGCCGAUCACGCCGGACGGUAAUCUGAGGCGGGCGUGGACGAAGGC